Molecule: transfer RNA, 74 nt
Filed under: Bulbochaete rectangularis var. hiloensis
Lineage: Eukaryota; Viridiplantae; Chlorophyta; Chlorophyceae; Oedogoniales; Oedogoniaceae
Description: tRNA-Arg
Rfam family: tRNA
About the family: Transfer RNA (tRNA) molecules are approximately 80 nucleotides in length. Their secondary structure includes four short double-helical elements and three loops (D, anti-codon, and T loops).
Source: RNAcentral
CCGCUCUUAGCUCAGUGGAAAAGAGCAAUGGUUUUCUAAGUCAUUGGUCGCGGGUUCAAAUCCUGCAGAGCGGG